This 107-nucleotide small nuclear RNA is filed under the name Prolemur simus (greater bamboo lemur). The record is from RNAcentral. Lineage: Eukaryota; Metazoa; Chordata; Mammalia; Primates; Lemuridae.
GUGCUCACUUCGGCAGCACAUAUACUAAAAUUGGAACGAUACAGAGAAGAGUAGCAUGGCCCCUGUGCAAGGAUGACACGCAAAUUCGUGAAGCAUUCCAUAUUUAU